Molecule: ribosomal RNA, 498 nt
Filed under: uncultured bacterium
Lineage: Bacteria
Description: partial 16S ribosomal RNA
Rfam family: Bacterial small subunit ribosomal RNA
Source: RNAcentral
GACGAACGCUGGCGGCGUGCCUAAUACAUGCAAGUCGAGCGGACGGAUGGGAGCUUGCUCCCAGACCGUCAGCGGCGGACGGGUGAGUAACACGUGGGCAACCUGCCUGUAAGACUGGGAUAACUCCGGGAAACCGGGGCUAAUACCGGAUAACUCUUUCCCUCACAUGAGGGAAAGCUGAAAGAUGGCAUCUCGCUAUCACUUACAGAUGGGCCCGCGGCGCAUUAGCUAGUUGGUGAGGUAACGGCUCACCAAGGCGACGAUGCGUAGCCGACCUGAGAGGGUGAUCGGCCACACUGGGACUGAGACACGGCCCAGACUCCUACGGGAGGCAGCAGUAGGCAAUCUUCCGCAAAGGACGAAAGUCUGACGGAGCAACGCCGCGUGAGUGAUGAAGGUUUUCGGAUCGUAAAACUCUGUUGUCAGGGAAGAACAAGUACCGGAGUAACUGCCGGUACCUUGACGGUACCUGACCAGAAAGCCACGGCUAACUACGUG